This 759-nucleotide ribosomal RNA is filed under the name uncultured Neisseriaceae bacterium. Its description in RNAcentral is "bacterial SSU rRNA". It matches the Rfam family "Bacterial small subunit ribosomal RNA", at positions 28 to 776 of the family's 1533-position model. Lineage: Bacteria; Pseudomonadati; Pseudomonadota; Betaproteobacteria; Neisseriales; Neisseriaceae. The record is from RNAcentral.
AUUGAACGCUGGCGGCAUGCUUUACACAUGCAAGUCGGACGGCAGCGGGGGUGCUUGCACCUGCCGGCGAGUGGCGAACGGGUGAGUAACAUAUUGGAAUGUACCGAGUAGUGGGGGAUAACCAAUCGAAAGAUUGGCUAAUACCGCAUACGUCCUGAGGGGGAAAGCAGGGGAUCUUCGGACCUUGCGCUAUUUGAGCAGCCAAUAUCUGAUUAGCUAGUUGGUGGGGUAAAGGCCCACCAAGGCGACGAUCAGUAGCGGGUCUGAGAGGAUGAUCCGCCACACUGGGACUGAGACACGGCCCAGACUCCUACGGGAGGCAGCAGUGGGGAAUUUUGGACAAUGGGGGCAACCCUGAUCCAGCCAUGCCGCGUGUCUGAAGAAGGCCUUCGGGUUGUAAAGGACUUUUGUUAGGGAAGAAAAGGGAAGUGCUAAUACCACUUUUUGUUGACGGUACCUAAAGAAUAAGCACCGGCUAACUACGUGCCAGCAGCCGCGGUAAUACGUAGGGUGCGAGCGUUAAUCGGAAUUACUGGGCGUAAAGCGAGCGCAGACGGUUACUUAAGCAGGAUGUGAAAUCCCCGGGCUCAACCUGGGAACUGCGUUCUGAACUGGGUAGCUAGAGUAUGUCAGAGGGGGGUAGAAUUCCACGUGUAGCAGUGAAAUGCGUAGAGAUGUGGAGGAAUACCGACGGGCGAAAGGCAGCCCCCCUGGGGAUAAUACUGACGUUCAUGGCUCGAAGCGUGGGUAGCAAACAGG